This is a long non-coding RNA of Tigriopus californicus, 1983 nucleotides long. RefSeq lists it as uncharacterized. The record is from RefSeq and is a predicted model, not a curated record. NCBI's taxonomy places the organism in Eukaryota, Metazoa, Arthropoda, Copepoda, Harpacticoida, Harpacticidae. The transcript is spliced from 2 exons.
AUCCUUGAUUUUAGUUGCGUUUCGUCCUGAGCUUUCAUACAGAGAGUCAAAUCAUCGCAAUAGGAUGAGAGGGCCAAGUCCUCCGACAGAGGGAGGUGUUGCGGUAAAUCCGAAGUGUAGAGAAUGAAACGAGUAGUUGAGAUUGUAGCUCCUUGGGGGACACCAUAUCUUAAUUCGAAGGUCUCGGAGAUCUCGGAGCCUAUCCUGACACGGUAAUUUUUGUUAUGUUGUUCAAACUUUUUCGACGGACUGUAUCCUCGUUUGAAAAUCGGAACAUCAUGAGCUAGCUUCUGCUUAUGCUCAUUCCAUCUCUAAUUUACGAAAGCAUUGCAGAAACUCAAUCUGCAAAAAGUUUCUCAUGGCCAAGCUUCUAAACAACUUACUAGAAUCCAGACUUCAUUUGAUGUUGAAGCAAAGCAUGGUAUUCAGUAAAUGAUUGGCAAACUACUACGUAAGGCGCACUGCUUUAGAAAGUGAGAAAUGCUCUUGAAACAAGCAAUUUUAAGUGGACUUGCUUACCGCUUCUGGGAUUAAAAUUCCCAGCAAUUUUGGAUGGCAAUUUAUGCAUUUCAUUGGUAUUUAAUUAAUCCCAUCCUUCACCUGAAGAUAAUUGUCUGGAAGUUAGACCUCGGAUUCAAAUUGGUUUUCGUGAAGUUAUGUAUCCCAAGUUUUGGGAAAUAACAAAAAUGAAAAAGCGGUCCAAAAUAAAAGAUUUCGUGUUAUUAGCUCCUUCACUUCCACUCUUACAUUUUGCACUUUUAAGGUAUCAUUAAGGCGAUGCUACGAAUAGGUCAGUAACAUAUUACAAGAGGUAUAACUUAUCUUCAUUUAUAUGUUAAUUUUGGUACAUCUUACCCCCUUGAAUUGUGAAUUUAAUCAUCAUCCUAAAUUUGUGUUAGUUGCGGAAUUUACUGUUAUUUUGAUCACGAUCAGAUAUUGCCAGUGACUGAUGAAAGGGUUGUGCAUCGGGUUCGACAAGGUCUCCUAAUGCGAUCAGAGGUGAAAUCUUGUAAUCCUAAUCUGAGAGAUUUUUCGAUCCAACCGAACCCGAAAUUUUCCGCUCAAUCCGAAUCCGAGAGCUUUGCCAAUUCCGAACAAAUUCGAAUCAGUAUGUUUUUGCUAAAUCCGACCCCGAGGCGCUUGAGCAUAUUUCGGCUAUAUUUCGACUUUUUUUAAUGAAUCUGAUCAAAAUUCGUUUUAAGACCAAUUGAUCUUAAAAACAGAAGCUUAUUCAGCUUUCACAGUAAUCACUUCGGAACCCGUGUUAAAAUUUACUCGGAACCUAUAGGAGGAUUUCACUGAGUUCAUGAAAUUCGACAAGUUUGAACCUUAUAAUCUUCUGAAAUACCUUCGCAAUGUUCGAAGUGAGAGAAAAAAAAUGUAAUUACUGGGAGAGACGUAUCUCUCCCUUUAAAAAUUGGAACGACAUGAGCUAGCCUCAAAGAGAAUGAACACUUACUUGCCCUGAUCCAAGAUGCAACGCAUCAAGUACGAGAAAACCUGAGGAAAAUACUUAUCAUAAGCUUUUUUGUAUUUGGUUACUUGGGUUCCUUUGCGACAAUAUUUUUUUGCGGACUUCCUUACCGCUACUUGGAAGUUCAAAACGAGAAGCUUAUUUAAUUUACUUCAAUAUUUUUUUAUUUUCACUUUUAUUUUCAGUUAAGUAAAUUUACUGAACAUGAAAACAAAAGUUCAGUGAAGCCUUUUGUAAACCGGUUGAACUCCUUGGAGCCCAAAUGUGAGGUGAUGGACUUGGUUGAAUCGUUCCUUGAGGAUAAAUUGGGGGAUGAAGCUGGCCGAAGGGAGAUCCGUGACGAGCUGUGCAACGAGAGUGCUGAUUUCUCAGACCUGGAUUUGUCAUCAUUGCAGAUCGAGGAAGGAACUUCCAAGAGAUGUAUGAUAUGUCCUUAAAUUGUCAUAUUGGUGCUAAUAUACCAAAAUUCAGAAAUGUGGAAAAAUAAACCAACUUCAAUAUUGUUUGAA